RNAcentral lists this ribosomal RNA (991 nucleotides) under Pireneitega spinivulva. RNAcentral's name for it is "SSU rRNA". It matches the Rfam family "Eukaryotic small subunit ribosomal RNA", at positions 42 to 1033 of the family's 1831-position model. The record is from RNAcentral. Lineage: Eukaryota; Metazoa; Arthropoda; Arachnida; Araneae; Agelenidae. RNAcentral also lists the same sequence under 3 other names.
GAUUAGCCAUGCAUGUCUAAGUACAUGCCGUAUUAAGGCGAAACCGCGAAUGGCUCAUUAAAUCAGUCAUGGUUCCUUGGAUCGUACCUUACUACUUGGAUAACUGUGGCAAUUCUAGAGCUAAUACAUGCAGCAGAGCUCCGACCUUCGGGGACGAGCGCUUUUAUUAGACCAAAACCAAUCGGACCUCGUGUCCGUCCUUUGUGGUGACUCUGUAUAACUUUGGGCUGAUCGCACGGGCCUGUCCCGGCGACGUAUCUUUCAAGUGUCUGCCUUAUCAACUUUCGAUGGUAGGUUACGCGCCUACCAUGGUCGUAACGGGUAACGGGGAAUCAGGGUUCGAUUCCGGAGAGGGAGCCUGAGAAACGGCUACCACAUCCAAGGAAGGCAGCAGGCGCGCAAAUUACCCACUCCCAGAACGGGGAGGUAGUGACGAAAAAUAACAAUACGGGACUCUUUUGAGACCCCGUAAUUGGAAUGAGUACACUCUAAAUCCUUUAACGAGGAUCCAUUGGAGGGUAAGUCUGGUGCCAGCAACCGCGGUAAUUCCAGCUCCAAUAGCGUAUAUUAAAGUUGUUGCGGUUAAAAAGCUCGUAGUUGGAUCUCAGUUCCAGACGGGUGGUCCGCCUACCGGUGGUUACUGCCUGUUCUGAACAGUCAGCCGGUUUCUCUUGAUGAUCUUCACCGGUUGUCUUGGGUGACCGGCAAGUUUACUUUGAAAAAAUUAGAGUGCUCAAAGCAGGCGUGACGCCUGAAUAAUGGUGCAUGGAAUAAUGGAAUAGGACCUCGGUUCUAUUUUGUUGGUUUUCGGAACACGAGGUAAUGAUUAAGAGGGACAGACGGGGGCAUUCGUAUUGCGACGCUAGAGGUGAAAUUCUUGGACCGUCGCAAGACGAACUACUGCGAAAGCAUUUGCCAAGAAUGUUUCCAUUAAUCAAGAACGAAAGUUAGAGGUUCGAAGGCGAUCAGAUACCGCCCUAGUUCUAACCAU